Molecule: ribosomal RNA, 373 nt
Filed under: uncultured organism
Description: partial 16S ribosomal RNA
Rfam family: Bacterial small subunit ribosomal RNA
Source: RNAcentral
GUAGGUGGCAAGCGUUGUCCGGAAUUAUUCGGCGUAAAGCGCGCGCAGGCGGUUCUUUAAGUCUGAUGUGAAAGCCCACGGCUCAACCGUGGAGGGUCAUUGGAAACUGGAGAACUUGAGUACAGAAGAGGAAAGCGGAAUUCCACGUGUAGCGGUGAAAUGCGUAGAGAUGUGGAGGAACACCAGUGGCGAAGGCGGCUUUCUGGUCUGUAACUGACGCUGAGGCGCGAAAGCGUGGGGAGCAAACAGGGAUUAGAUACCCUGGUAGUCCACGCCGUAAACGAUGAGUGCUAAGUGUUAGGGGGUUUCCGCCCCCUUAGUGCUGCAGCUAACGCAUUAAGCACUCCGCCUGGGGAGUACGGCCGCAAGGCUG